CCUACGGGAGGCAGCAGUGGGGAAUAUUGCACAAUGGGGGAAACCCUGAUGCAGCAACGCCGCGUGAGUGAAGAAGUAUUUCGGUAUGUAAAGCUCUAUCAGCAGGGAAGAAGAUGACGGUACCUGAUUAAGAAGCCCCGGCUAACUACGUGCCAGCAGCCGCGGUAAUACGUAGGGGGCAAGCGUUAUCCGGAUUUACUGGGUGUAAAGGGAGCGCAGACGGCAGUGCAAGUCUGGAGUGAAAGCCCGGGGCCCAACCCCGGAACUGCUCUGGAAACUGUGCGGCUAGAGUACUGGAGGGGCAGGCGGAAUUCCUAGUGUAGCGGUGAAAUGCGUAGAUAUUAGGAGGAACACCAGUGGCGAAGGCGGCCUGCUGGACAGUAACUGACGUUGAGGCUCGAAAGCGUGGGGAGCAAACAGGAUUAGAUACCCCUGUAG
This 438-nucleotide ribosomal RNA is filed under the name uncultured bacterium. RNAcentral describes it as "bacterial SSU rRNA". It matches the Rfam family "Bacterial small subunit ribosomal RNA", at positions 338 to 793 of the family's 1533-position model. The record is from RNAcentral.